Oncorhynchus tshawytscha (Chinook salmon) is the source of this 845-nucleotide long non-coding RNA. Lineage: Eukaryota; Metazoa; Chordata; Actinopteri; Salmoniformes; Salmonidae. The record is from Ensembl.
CCCUGGACUGGUAUUACAGCUGAGACAGGGGCCCUUUCUACCUAGUACCCUCCCCUGGACUGGUAUUACAGCCGAGACAGACAGGGGCCCUUUCUACCUAGUACCCUCCCCUGGACUGGUAUUACAGCUGAGACAGACAGGGGGCCCUUUCUACCUAGUACCCUCCCCUGGACUGGUAUUACAGCCGAGACAGACAGGGGACCCUUUCUACUCAGGCACAGGGAGGGGCAGCUCAGAACCUUUGUGGUCCUGAGUGAUUCUCUGCCACAACAACUAACAUGGAUUUAAAAAAGGAAAGUGUAACAAUGGUCCUUCUGUGUUAGUGGCUGAAAAUGUCAGGUCUUCCUCUUCUGAUGCUAUGAUGCCCAGUUCUGUCUGUGUGUAGUCUGGUGCUGGGAGGUUACUAGGCUUCACAGACAACAGUCUGGUGCUGUGAGGUUACUAGGCUUCACAGACAACAGUCUGGUGCUGGGAGGUUACUAGGCUUCACAGACAACAGUCUGGUGCUGUGAGGUUACUAGGCUUCACAGACAACAGUCUGGUGCUCUGAGGUUACUAGGCUUCACAGACAACAGUCUGGUGCUGGGAGGUUACUAGGCUUCACAGACAACAGUCUGGUGCUGGGAGGUUACUAGGCUUCACAGACAACAGUCAGACUUCCUGUCUGUAAGCGUCCCCAUGUUCAGAAUUAUAUUUGUAUUAUUCUCACUAGUCUUUAUUUACACAUUUAAUAUUUCUUGGGAGCUGCUUGUGUCUGGAUGGUGUGCUAACCUGUUUGACAUUAUAAUAAUGUAAUAUAAUUUAUAUCGUUUGUAUUAUUCUAACAUAAUAUUGUGGGUCUUUUU